UGGGGCGUGGUGCAAUGGUAGCAUACCGGACUUUGAAUCCGUUGAUCCUGGUUCGAGUCCAGGCGCCCCGG
This 71-nucleotide transfer RNA is filed under the name Anaerolineae bacterium. Its description in RNAcentral is "tRNA-Gln". It matches the Rfam family "tRNA". Rfam says of the family: Transfer RNA (tRNA) molecules are approximately 80 nucleotides in length. Their secondary structure includes four short double-helical elements and three loops (D, anti-codon, and T loops). Further hydrogen bonds mediate the characteristic L-shaped molecular structure. tRNAs have two regions of fundamental functional importance: the anti-codon, which is responsible for specific mRNA codon recognition, and the 3' end, to which the tRNAs corresponding amino acid is attached (by aminoacyl-tRNA synthetases). tRNAs cope with the degeneracy of the genetic code in two manners: having more than one tRNA (with a specific anti-codon) for a particular amino acid; and 'wobble' base-pairing, i.e. permitting non-standard base-pairing at the 3rd anti-codon position. The record is from RNAcentral. Lineage: Bacteria; Bacillati; Chloroflexota; Anaerolineae.